This 397-nucleotide ribosomal RNA is filed under the name uncultured bacterium. Its description in RNAcentral is "bacterial SSU rRNA". It matches the Rfam family "Bacterial small subunit ribosomal RNA", at positions 50 to 436 of the family's 1533-position model. The record is from RNAcentral.
AAAACAUGCAAUUCGAGGGGCAGCACGGGACUAGCAAUACAACUGGUGGCGACCGGCGCACGGGUGAGUAACACGUAUGCAACCUACCUGUAAGCGGGGGAUAACCCGGAGAAAUUCGGACUAAUACCGCAUGAUACUGUAAACCCGCAUGGGUUAACAGUUAAAUAUUUAUAGUUUACAGAUGGGCAUGCGUAUGAUUAGAUACUUGGUGAGGUAAGGGCUCACCAAGUCAACGAUCAUUAGGGGUUCUGAGAGGAAGGUCCCCCACAUUGGAACUGAGACACGGUCCACACUCCUACGGGAGGCAGCAGUGAGGAAUAUUGGUCAAUGGGCGAGAGCCUGAACCAGCCCAAGUCCCCGUGAAGGAAGAAGGUUCCCAUGGAUUGUAAACUUCUUU